UGCGGUUAAACAAAAAUUAAAUUAAAUUUUUUUAGGAUUUAAUAAAUAAGUAAAAAAUAAUAAAUUAAAUUUUAAGUUAUAAGGUGAAAUUUUAAUUUAAAUAAAAUUUAUUUUUUUUUAUAAUAUUAAUAAAUUUUAUAAAAAACUAGGAUUAGAUACCCUACUAUAAAAAUUUAAAUUUAGAAUCUUAGAAUAGUAUGUAAAUUUUUACAAAAACUUAAAUAAUUUGGCGGUAUUUUAGUUUAUUUAGAGGAAUCUGUCUAAUGAUUGAUAAUCCACGAUUAAAUUUACUUAAUUUAUAAUUUUGUAUAUCGUUGUUAAAAAAAUAUUUAUAUAUAAUUAUAAUAUUUUAAAAUUUCAAUUUGAAAUUAAAUCAGAUCAAGAUGCAGAUUAUAUUUAAGAAUAUGAUGGAUUACAUUAAAUUUUAUUUUUGAAUAUUAAGUUGAAAAAAUUAAUUGAAAUUGGAUUUAAAUGUAAUUUUAUUUAUUUAAUUAAAAUGAUUUAAUAUUAAAAUAUGUACAUAUUGCCCGUCGCUUCUAUUUAUAAAUUAGAAUAAGUCGUAACAAAGUAGAGGUACUGGAAAGUGUUUCUAGAAAGAU
Molecule: ribosomal RNA, 599 nt
Filed under: Reissita simonyi yemenicola
Lineage: Eukaryota; Metazoa; Arthropoda; Insecta; Lepidoptera; Zygaenidae
Description: partial 12S ribosomal RNA
Source: RNAcentral